ACCUGGGAGAGCUCAGUCAGUAGAGCAUGAGACUGUUAAUCGCAGGGUUGUGGGUUUGAGCCCCACGUUGGGCA
Molecule: non-coding RNA, 74 nt
Organism: Podarcis lilfordi (Lilford's wall lizard)
Lineage: Eukaryota; Metazoa; Chordata; Lepidosauria; Squamata; Lacertidae
Source: the annotation of a GenBank genome assembly